AGAAUUUUGUGUUUAACUAGAAUUGUGGUUAACUUUGGAUUUCCCAUUUUCCUCCUUUCUCUUUUAAGUUGUAGCUUAAUAUGCUUAAACCAAAUGACACCUUCCUUUGCUACCAUUCAAUACUUUCCAUAAAGCCCUUACAGAAUUAAUCACUCCCUCCUGUUUUCCCAAAGCACUUUGAUUUCACUACUAUAAUAAGCUCUUUUCACUUUAUAUUAUAAUUAGUUAUGCAUGUGUCUGCAUCCCAUACAAAAGUGUUGGCUGUUUUGUGUCUUUGUUUCUUCAGCCUCUAAUACAAUGCCUGUGACAUUGUAUUGUACUGAUUUAGUUUGAGAUGCUCAGACUUCAAAUUUAGACAGAAUUUACCAGAGUAUCCUGAACAUAUCAUGAGAAAACAACAUCUGGAACGUGAAUUCUGUGCUUUCCUUCCUUUUAAUGACUCUGAGCACAAAGCAGAUGGAAUCAACUGUUAAUAUGUUGCCCAAUGUGAUGAAUGGCCUCAGCUGUGUCCAUGGCUCCGUAAUCUUCAGGCUGCUUCCCUGAAUGUCUUGAAUGUGUUAGGUGCUUAACAAAUAUUUGUGUGUUAAACGAGUUAAUAAAAACA
This 604-nucleotide long non-coding RNA is filed under the name Homo sapiens (human). RNAcentral's name for it is "HSALNT0125106". The record is from RNAcentral. Lineage: Eukaryota; Metazoa; Chordata; Mammalia; Primates; Hominidae.